RNAcentral lists this ribosomal RNA (301 nucleotides) under uncultured bacterium. RNAcentral's name for it is "partial 16S ribosomal RNA". It matches the Rfam family "Bacterial small subunit ribosomal RNA", at positions 509 to 807 of the family's 1533-position model. The record is from RNAcentral.
CAGUAGCCACGGGAAUACGAAGGGGGCUAGCGUUGUUCGGAUUUACUGGGCGUAAAGCGCACGUAGGCGGACUUUUAAGUCAGGGGUGAAAUACCGGGGCUCAACCCCGGAACUGCCUUUGAUACUGGAAGUCUUGAGUAUGGUAGAGGUGAGUGGAAUUCCGAGUGUAGAGGUGAAAUUCGUAGAUAUUUGGAGGAACACCAGUGGCGAAGGCGGCUCACUGGACCAUUACUGACGCUGAGGUGCGAAAGCGUGGGGAGCAAACAGGAUUAGAUACCCGCGUAGUCCCUGUCUCUUAUAC